CACGUAGUUGGCCGGGGCUUCUUAGUCAGGUACCGUCUUGUCUCGUUCCUGCUGAUAGAGCUUUACAUACCGAAAUACUUCUUCACUCACGCGGCGUCGCUGCAUCAGGGUUUCCCCCAUUGUGCAAUAUUCCCCACUGCUGCCUCCCGUAGGAGUUUGGGCCGUGUCUCAGCCCCAAUGUGGCCGUCCACCCUCUCAGGCCGGCUACUGAUCGUCGCUUUGGUAGGCCGUUACCCUGCCAACUGGCUAAUCAGACGCGGGUCCAUCCCAUACCACCGGAGUUUUUCACGCAGGAGCAUGCGCUCCCGUGCGCUUAUGCGGUAUUAGCACCUGUUUCCCAGGUGGUAUCCCCCGGUAUGGGGCAGGUUACCCACGCGUUACUCACCCGUCCGCCACUAAGAUACUCAUUUCCAAAGUGCAAGCACUCCUUCCAUAAGCACUCCCCGUUCGACUUGCUAUGUGUUAAGCACGCCCGCCAGCCGUUCACUUCCUGACGCCCGAGGACUCGAAACUCUACCG
Molecule: ribosomal RNA, 519 nt
Filed under: uncultured Lachnospiraceae bacterium
Lineage: Bacteria; Bacillati; Bacillota; Clostridia; Lachnospirales; Lachnospiraceae
Description: partial 16S ribosomal RNA
Source: RNAcentral